This 497-nucleotide ribosomal RNA is filed under the name uncultured bacterium. Its description in RNAcentral is "partial 16S ribosomal RNA". It matches the Rfam family "Bacterial small subunit ribosomal RNA", at positions 28 to 507 of the family's 1533-position model. The record is from RNAcentral.
GAUGAACGCUGGCGGCGUGCCUAAUACAUGCAAGUCGAGCGAACAGAUGAGGAGCUUGCUCCUCUGACGUUAGCGGCGGACGGGUGAGUAACACGUGGAUAACCUACCUAUAAGACUGGGAUAACUUCGGGAAACCGGAGCUAAUACCGGAUAAUAUAUUGAACCGCAUGGUUCAAUAGUGAAAGACGGUUUUGCUGUCACUUAUAGAUGGAUCCGCGCCGCAUUAGCUAGUUGGUAAGGUAACGGCUUACCAAGGCAACGAUGCGUAGCCGACCUGAGAGGGGGAUAGGCCACACUGGAACUGGGACACGGUCCAGACUCCUACGGGAGGCAGCAGUAGGGAAUCUUCCGCAAUGGGCGAAAGCUUGACGGAGCAACGCCGCGUGAGUGAUGAAGGUCUUCGGAUCGUAAAACUCUGUUAUUAGGGAAGAACAAAUGUGUAAGUAACUAUGCACGUCUUGACGGUACCUAAUCAGAAAGCCACGGCUAACUACGUG